AUGGUGUGUGAUUCCUACCUGACAAAGGCACAUGGCUUAUUGAGCUAUUGGAAUCUUGAAAGGGGCAUAGAAUUAACAUGUUCUGGUUCAAGUAAGAAAAAUAUGUUUUCUAUUUGGAGCCUAGUUCAAGCGGAGCCCCAUUGAGCGAGGACGGUGCCAUUAGGUCAUGUUCAAGUAUAAGAUUGCCUUAGAAAAUAACUCUGUUCUAUAAAUUCUUGCAGCUAACUUCCAUUAUUGCCUUCUAUGCUGCUAACAAGUACAAAGUUAUAUUUUAAAUCUGAUGUCCAUUUUUCUCUUUGUUGGUAAUAUUUGCAGGU
Molecule: unclassified non-coding RNA, 317 nt
Filed under: Hevea brasiliensis (rubber tree)
Lineage: Eukaryota; Viridiplantae; Streptophyta; Magnoliopsida; Malpighiales; Euphorbiaceae
Source: RNAcentral